CGCGUAGGCGGCUUUGCAAGCCGGAUGUGAAAUCCCCGGGCUUAACCUGGGAACUGCAUUCGGGACUGCAUUGCUAGAGUAUGGGAGAGGGAAGUGGAAUUUCAGGUGUAGCGGUGAAAUGCGUAGAUAUCUGAAGGAACAUCAGUGGCGAAAGCGACUUCCUGGACCAAUACUGACGCUCAUGUGCGAAAGCGUGGGAGCAAACA
RNAcentral lists this ribosomal RNA (206 nucleotides) under uncultured bacterium. Its description in RNAcentral is "partial 16S ribosomal RNA". It matches the Rfam family "Bacterial small subunit ribosomal RNA", at positions 568 to 774 of the family's 1533-position model. The record is from RNAcentral.